This 462-nucleotide ribosomal RNA is filed under the name uncultured bacterium. Its description in RNAcentral is "bacterial SSU rRNA". It matches the Rfam family "Bacterial small subunit ribosomal RNA", at positions 28 to 519 of the family's 1533-position model. The record is from RNAcentral.
GAUGAAUGCUGGCGGCGCGCCUAACACAUGCAAGUCGAGCGGUAACAGGAGUAAUUUAUUACUUGCUGACGAGCGGCGGACGGCUGAGUAACGCGUGGGAACAUGCCCCAAAGUGAGGAAUAACUGCCCGAAAGGGUAGCUAAUGCCGCAUAUGAUCUUAGGAUUAAAGGAUUUAUCCGCUUUGGGAGUGGCCCGCGUACGAUUAGGUAGUUGGUGAGGUAAUGGCUCACCAAGCCUACGAUCGUUAACUGGUCUGAGAGGAUGAUCAGUCAGACUGGAACUGAGACACGGUCCAGACUCCUACGGGAGGCAGCAGUGAGGAAUCUUCCACAAUGGGCGAAAGCCUGAUGGAGCGACGCCGCGUGCAGGAUGAAGGCCCUCGGGUUGUAAACUGCUUUUAUAAGUGAAGAAUAUGACGGUAACUUAUGAAUAGCACCGGCUAACUACGUGCCAGCAGCCGCC